This 284-nucleotide long non-coding RNA is filed under the name Phasianus colchicus (ring-necked pheasant). RNAcentral describes it as "lncRNA (ENSPCLG00000012367.1)". Lineage: Eukaryota; Metazoa; Chordata; Aves; Galliformes; Phasianidae. The record is from RNAcentral.
GGAAAAAUAACCCCCUCCUCCAACAAAAUAUUCUGGAAGUGUAAUCAUUACACUUAUCUUCCCUAAGCUAUUUAAAAGACUGAAGCUGGGAAAAAGGAAAGAAAAAAAAAAAGAAAAGAAAAAAGGAGAAAAAAAAGCUGAAGAAAUGUUUUUCCUAUUAUUGCUUAACAAGAAAUAGGCAACAAAUCAAAAGAAGAUGCAGUAAAAACAAAAACACAGAAAACCCCAUGUCUGCUAUCUUGAUAAGAUGCAGAACUCACACACUUUGUACUGCUUGCUCCUGA